Molecule: ribosomal RNA, 253 nt
Filed under: uncultured bacterium
Lineage: Bacteria
Description: partial 16S ribosomal RNA
Rfam family: Bacterial small subunit ribosomal RNA
Source: RNAcentral
UACGUAGGGUGCAAGCGUUGUCCGGAAUUAUUGGGCGUAAAGAGCUCGUAGGCGGUCUGUCGCGUCUGCUGUGAAAACUCAGGGCUUAACCCUGAGCUUGCAGUGGGUACGGGCAGACUAGAGUGCGGUAGGGGAGACUGGAAUUCCUGGUGUAGCGGUGAAAUGCGCAGAUAUCAGGAGGAACACCGGUGGCGAAGGCGAUCUGCUGGCCUGUUCUUGACGCUCAGGCGCGAAAGCUAGGGGAGCGACCGGG